RNAcentral lists this ribosomal RNA (1746 nucleotides) under Salmonella enterica. Its description in RNAcentral is "partial 23S ribosomal RNA". It matches the Rfam family "Bacterial large subunit ribosomal RNA", at positions 1163 to 2860 of the family's 2925-position model. Lineage: Bacteria; Pseudomonadati; Pseudomonadota; Gammaproteobacteria; Enterobacterales; Enterobacteriaceae. The record is from RNAcentral.
CAAGACAACUUUACGGAGUUGACGAUUGACGGAGCGAAGCGACGUCAAAGCGUUCAUUAAAGUCGAGUUGGCUUAGGGAUACGUUCGUUGGGUAGGGGAGCGUUCUGUAAGCCUGUGAAGGUGUGUCGUGAGGCAUGCUGGAGGUAUCAGAAGUGCGAAUGCUGACAUAAGUAACGAUAAAGCGGGUGAAAAGCCCGCUCGCCGGAAGACCAAGGGUUCCUGUCCAACGUUAAUCGGGGCAGGGUGAGUCGACCCCUAAGGCGAGGCCGAAAGGCGUAGUCGAUGGGAAACGGGUUAAUAUUCCCGUACUUGGUGUUACUGCGAAGGGGGGACGGAGAAGGCUAUGUUGGCCGGGCGACGGUUGUCCCGGUUUAAGCGUGUAGGUGUGUGUUCCAGGUAAAUCCGGUUCACUUUAACACUGAGGCGUGACGACGAGGCACUACGGUGCUGAAGCAACAAAUGCCCUGCUUCCAGGAAAAGCCUCUAAGCAUCAGGUAACACGAAAUCGUACCCCAAACCGACACAGGUGGUCAGGUAGAGAAUACCAAGGCGCUUGAGAGAACUCGGGUGAAGGAACUAGGCAAAAUGGUGCCGUAACUUCGGGAGAAGGCACGCUGACACGUAGGUGAAGUGAUUUACUCAUGGAGCUGAAGUCAGUCGAAGAUACCAGCUGGCUGCAACUGUUUAUUAAAAACACAGCACUGUGCAAACACGAAAGUGGACGUAUACGGUGUGACGCCUGCCCGGUGCCGGAAGGUUAAUUGAUGGGGUCAGCGCAAGCGAAGCUCCUGAUCGAAGCCCCGGUAAACGGCGGCCGUAACUAUAACGGUCCUAAGGUAGCGAAAUUCCUUGUCGGGUAAGUUCCGACCUGCACGAAUGGCGUAAUGAUGGCCAGGCUGUCUCCACCCGAGACUCAGUGAAAUUGAACUCGCUGUGAAGAUGCAGUGUACCCGCGGCAAGACGGAAAGACCCCGUGAACCUUUACUAUAGCUUGACACUGAACAUUGAGCCUUGAUGUGUAGGAUAGGUGGGAGGCUUUGAAGUGUGGACGCCAGUCUGCAUGGAGCCGACCUUGAAAUACCACCCUUUAAUGUUUGAUGUUCUAACGUGGACCCGUAAUCCGGGUUGCGGACAGUGUCUGGUGGGUAGUUUGACUGGGGCGGUCUCCUCCUAAAGAGUAACGGAGGAGCACGAAGGUUGGCUAAUCCUGGUCGGACAUCAGGAGGUUAGUGCAAUGGCAUAAGCCAGCUUGACUGCGAGCGUGACGGCGCGAGCAGGUGCGAAAGCAGGUCAUAGUGAUCCGGUGGUUCUGAAUGGAAGGGCCAUCGCUCAACGGAUAAAAGGUACUCCGGGGAUAACAGGCUGAUACCGCCCAAGAGUUCAUAUCGACGGCGGUGUUUGGCACCUCGAUGUCGGCUCAUCACAUCCUGGGGCUGAAGUAGGUCCCAAGGGUAUGGCUGUUCGCCAUUUAAAGUGGUACGCGAGCUGGGUUUAGAACGUCGUGAGACAGUUCGGUCCCUAUCUGCCGUGGGCGCUGGAGAACUGAGGGGGGCUGCUCCUAGUACGAGAGGACCGGAGUGGACGCAUCACUGGUGUUCGGGUUGUCAUGCCAAUGGCACUGCCCGGUAGCUAAAUGCGGAAGAGAUAAGUGCUGAAAGCAUCUAAGCACGAAACUUGCCCCGAGAUGAGUUCUCCCUGAGACUUAGAGUCUCCUGAAGGAACGUUGAAGACGACGACGUUGAUAGG